CUCAAUAAUAAUCAUAAUUUUAGAAUAGAUUUUUGACAACUUCUUAAACACUAAAAAUAUUUAAUAUUUUUUAACAAAACAUGCACUUCAUACAAUAUAAAUAGAUCAAAUCAUAUUCUAUUUGUUACUUGCGAAGAGAGAAAAAUAUGGUUAAAACUCUACAUUUUGUGUGUGCGAUUAUUUUAUUUUUUUCGGUAUUUCAGGUUGCAAUGAACCAAAAGCACGAUAUUGAUUGUGAAACUGAUAAGGAUUGCCCAGAAGAUCCGUAUCGCAUGUUUGUUUGUUUUAGGGACAAAUGUUGGAAACUUUAUCUAAAGCCAGAAGUUUAUCCUGUUAUACCUAUUCCAUGAGUAUUAAACCUAUGAGAGUACAAUUACGCCAUGCAGGGAAGAAUGAGAGUUCUUACUCUAAUAAAAAAUCAAACCAAUUAAUAUACCUUAUGCUAAUAUAUUCCAAGUUUGGAAUUUAGUUACUAUGUUGCACCUAAUAAAUGUAUGCUUUACUUUUUUUUCUUUUUUUUUUUUAAUUUCACAUACCUUGCAAUUAUGGUUUUGUACUCUAAGAUGUUGUUCAUUAAAUGAAAUAAGGAUCUAAAUUUUUUAAUAA
Long non-coding RNA from Trifolium pratense (red clover), 606 nucleotides. RefSeq lists it as uncharacterized. Lineage: Eukaryota; Viridiplantae; Streptophyta; Magnoliopsida; Fabales; Fabaceae. The record is from RefSeq and is a predicted model, not a curated record. The transcript is spliced from 2 exons.